This 364-nucleotide ribosomal RNA is filed under the name uncultured bacterium. RNAcentral's name for it is "partial 16S ribosomal RNA". It matches the Rfam family "Bacterial small subunit ribosomal RNA", at positions 338 to 699 of the family's 1533-position model. The record is from RNAcentral.
CCUACGGGAGGCAGCAGUGAGGAAUAUUGGUCAAUGGACGCAAGUCUGAACCAGCCAUGCCGCGUGCAGGAAGACGGCUCUAUGAGUUGUAAACUUCUUUUAUACGAGGGUAAAUCGCGAUACGUGUAUCUGUUUGCAAGUAUUUUACGAAUAAGGAUCGGCUAACUCCGUGCCAGCAGCCGCGGUAAUACGGAGGAUUCAAGCGUUAUCCGGAUUUAUUGGGUUUAAAGGGUGCGUAGGCGGUUUGAUAAGUCAGAUGUGAAAUCCCGGGGCUUAACUCCAGCACUGCAUUUGAUACUGUUAGGCUAGAGUUUGGGUGAGGUAGGUGGAAUGUAUGGUGUAGCGGUAAAAUCCGUAGAGAUCA